RNAcentral lists this long non-coding RNA (362 nucleotides) under Cricetulus griseus (Chinese hamster). RNAcentral describes it as "lncRNA (ENSCGRG00015038486.1)". The record is from RNAcentral. Lineage: Eukaryota; Metazoa; Chordata; Mammalia; Rodentia; Cricetidae.
GUGAAAGACCCGAGCUAACAUGGGGUUAGCUCGUAAAACUACAAUAAAGCCUCAUGCAGUUUGCAUCAAGCUUUCGCCUCCAUUCUGUGUUUGGGGUGGCCGCCGUCCUGGGCUAAGAUUCUGGAAGCCUCAGCUUUCUGAGGGUCUAACAACAGGGCCCAUGUGGAGGCUGAAUGUGACUGCAGGCUGAUGUAACAACUUGCCUGAGAAGUGAUCAGAUUUGGAACUGAAUUGUGGCCAAGAGGGUGAAGAAAGUGACCUCCUGCUCUGGAAUCAGUACCAAUGAUGUCCUAAAUAGUGUUCCACCAAAUGCUUUCACUAUUGGCUAUCCAUAUACCAAGAAUGAGGCUGUGUUAAGCACG